UCUGAGGUGCAAGCAGUAGACAUCCUUCUC
RNAcentral lists this non-coding RNA (30 nucleotides) under Homo sapiens (human). The record is from RNAcentral. Lineage: Eukaryota; Metazoa; Chordata; Mammalia; Primates; Hominidae.